Molecule: long non-coding RNA, 1843 nt
Filed under: Durio zibethinus
Lineage: Eukaryota; Viridiplantae; Streptophyta; Magnoliopsida; Malvales; Malvaceae
Description: long non-coding RNA (DZIB_LNC001429)
Source: RNAcentral
UUAAAUUAAUCUGAACUGAAGUUUAUUAUUUUAAAUUGGUUCAUCAAUUUUAGAGAUUAUAUUUAAAAAUUUUUUUACACUUAUUUAUAUAUUAUUUUUAAUAGUUUAAAUAAAUUUAAAUAUAAAAUAAUUAUUUUAAUUUAUAAAAUUUAAAUUUUGUAAAACUAAUAAAAAUAUAAUUAAAUUCUACUCAAAUUAAACUUAUAUUAUCGUAUUCGUGUGAUACACCAAGAAUUUGUAUUGCUUGAAUUUUUUUACUUUUUUUUUUUCAUUUUCUAUGUCAACAUCGUCUGUGCUAUAGAUGAUUGUUAGCUUUUUUAUAUUAUUUUAAAAUUCUGAUGCUAUAGAUUCGUGAGUGUUCACUCCAUAGACCAAAAUUAUUCAUUAGGUGGAUGCUAAUUUUUUAUUGAUUAAGUACAGUGCAGACAAAGCAAAAAAACAGAAAUUAGCAAUUGCGGCAAAGUCAGCUGUUCAUAGAUGAUUGUUCCCAUUUUUGAAUUGUGUUAAGGUGAUGUUUAUUAUAAUUUUAUUUCAUCUUUUAGAAUUCCAAUAUUGAUCGUAGAAGCAAUCGUUCGAUUUUGGUGACUUUCGUUAGUUUUCCGCUCGAUACUUUCGGCCGGAUAGUGAUGUUAUAGUAAUUUCGUUUUUUUUGUGCUAUAGAAAAGGAUCUGAGCUGCUUCAAUUAUUUUACCAACUUUUUUCUUCGUUUUCUAUGUCAAAGUCAUCGGUGCUAAAGUUGCAGUUACUUUUUCAAUUUAAAAUUUUUGUCUAGACGAUAGUUAUUAAUACAUUAAUUUUUUCAUCAUUACAAAAGAGUCGGUCGGUUUUGAUAAAGUGUUGUAAAUGUUCAUCGGUAGACCAAACUAUUUUCACCUGUCAAUUUUCGCAAGGAGUCGCACGAUUUCGAGAGACUUUCAAAAGUGCUCGGGCGAUGCAAAGUGCACGAUAAAGAAACGGUAGCCCAAAACUAUUUGUCCAUAUGGGAAUAUGUUAUUUAAACUUCAACUGUCAUUUUUCGCAAGGAGUAGCACGAUUUCGACAGACUAUCGUAAGUGCUCGCGCGAUAAACCAACGCUGGAAAGUCCACGAUAAACCAACGACAGACUUGAGAGCAUUCAUCGUAUUUUAUUGCCGAUUGAACAAAAAAAAGUUAUAAACUUUGAUGGCCAAAAUAUUCUUUCGAAUCAAAAUAAAAAAUAUAAAAAAAAAUUAAGUGAGAACAAGGUAAUUUACUCUAAAAGAGAAAGGGAAUAAAGCCAAUUUUUGAAAAUUUCCAAUUAAAUUUGGUUUUUCUACUCUUCACCUAUACACUCCUUUACAAUAUGUUUAACGCUCUUUUACUAUAUGAUGGUGAUGAUUGUUUUAAUAUUAUUAUUAUUUGUUUAAAACUUUAUAUUUAUUAAAUUUAAAAAUUUAUAUUUGAUAAUAUCUAAAUUAUUAUUAAUAUUAUCAAUGGAUAAAGGGUUGUGCAAUUCGGAGUGUUCAUAUAUUUCAUGAAACACAACUGGUCACUUCAUCAUUCGAAAUAUUUUAAAAAAUUUUAUUUCUUUAAUAAUUCAUGAUUCACUUAAAUGUAUAUACUUAUACUCUAAAAAUGUAUUAAAAAUAAACUUACUUUUAAAAUAUAAUAUUUAUCAUAAAAACAUGUCGUUAAUGAAAUGUUUUUAAUUUUUAAAGGUUUAAUCAAAUAUUUAUAAACUCACGUUUAUAAUUUUUUAAAAACAUUCUGACUCGUUGCUUGGCAAAUAUCAACGGAUAUUGUUUUAAGGAUAAGAUUAACUCUUGUUCAUAAUCAAAAUUUUUUCUUGGUAUAAAAAAACCAUAAUCAUAGAAGAAGUUGUUG